ACUGUAUGCGUGGAUCCGUGUGUGACUGCAAGGCGCCGGCUCUCGGGCCGCGUUUGUGCCUGGAGCAGAGAAACUGCGCGGGAUGCAGAAAGCCCCAAGCCCUGCUGGAGCUGGGCGCCCGCUGUCCCUUCCCUGGCAGUCCUCUUCCUCGGGCGCCGCGGGGCUCCUCCAGGGAGACUGCGGAAGGGGAGGAGGCGAAGCGAAAACGGAGGGCAGCCGUAGUAAUAGCGCGUAGUAGUUCGGGGGUAUGUGGAGAAGGUGCUGGAAUUUAACUGUGCCUCCGCCUGCCAGUGCGAGCCUGCAGAGAGAGAGGGAGGGGACGGGGGACGGGCUCCGAGUGGCACCAAAGCUGUUUGUGGCACAGUGUGGACUGUGGAAAAAACGGGCAUUGUCGUGCCGGCUGAAACUUUUUCUCCCCCUUCCCUAAGGCUGUCAUUAUAAAUCUGCCCCCUAUUCCAGGUAAAAAAAUAAAAAAUAGAAAAGGGAGGCGGGCACAAAGAACGUUCCUGCCAAAUCUGUCUCUUCCCUGAAGGACUGCAAGCUUCCAAAUGCCAACGAGGGAGAAACAGCUGAGAGGCUGAACGCCUUAUAAAUAAGUAAACCCACCCUAACCUCUCUGUUUACUUCGUGGACUAGGUACAGCACUAUAACCUUCCCUCACCUGCCAUCUUCGCUAAAAUAUAUACAAAAAUAUGGAAAAACAAACCCUGGGGGCGGGGCUGGCGGGUUAGGGGGCGGCUGAAGCAUGGAAUCUGGUUUUGAUUUAAAAAGGGGAAUAAAUCUCUUAUUUUCUACAGACCGUAGUCUCUUCCCUCUCACCCCGCAUUUGAGACCAAUUAAGGCUGCAAAUUGUAAUUUGCUGGCAAGUCGCGGUUUUGAGACCUCUUUGCUCCAAUUUUCCUUGAAAUACAGUACUUUGGCCGGACCAAUAGGUCGGUGUUUGGUGAGACAAUUUUAUUUUUAGUUUUAUGAAGUGUGAAAGAAUGUUAGGAGACUUUAAAUCAGGGGCCUAUUAUUUUAGACUCAGAUUAAUGUAGAUGCUUGACUCUUAAAACUGUUCCUAUGCAGUAGUGUUAUGAAAAGUAUGAUUUAUCCCUUAUUUCGUAAUGUAAUGGCUUAAAUUAGUCAUUCAAAGUGCACUGUGACUAUCUGGUUGAGGAUUCUUCCCCCUAGAGUAAAAUCCUAUUUUAAGACCAUUUUACUGUUGCAAAAUUGACUCCAUUUGAGCAACUGGGUCUGAAAUGCAGUUCUAGGAUGCUUAAAACUUCAGGCUGGAUAAGUUGAAGACAAGAAGUAAUGGAAAGAACGCCAAAUACUGCCAUGUAGUCAUUAAGAAGCAAGAAUUCUUUAUAUCACUGGUCCACUGCUGGCUGAAGCAGAGCCCACUAGGGCAGCAUUUUCAUGAUGGCUGGGAGUGUUGGUGAUCACCCACCCUAUAGCUUUCUAAGGUCUUGCUACUUGCUUGUUAACUUUAGCUUCAUCAUUUUCUGUCUAUCUUGAAGUGAACCUCAAGACAACGAAAGAUAACACAGCUAAGAGAAAUAGAAUAUAGUGUGCCCUGAAGGAUCCAUUGUAAGAACUUGUUUUUCUGCCUGAGGAUAUGCCGGUAUAACUAUUAACUGAGAAAUAUAUAGGGAGAAAUUUUAAACAAGACUAGUAGUAUAGUAAAAGUGUAACAUAAAUACUAACUUCUAACUGCCUAAUAAGUCGCAACUAAUAAUAUAGCCAGAUAACCUACCUGUCUCUAAUAAAGAGAUUUAACCUAAUAGCAAUGCUUAUUACAUUGAGAGUAUUAGGUUUUAAUUUUUUUGGGGUCUAAUUUGUUUCUCUGGCAUGCCGGCCUCACAUGCCAAUUUUCAGAAAUUGAUAACUUCACUUUUAUUCCCUUGUGAAUAAAUGCCCUUUAUCCCCUUAAGAUUCUACUUCCACUUGCCAUGCAAAUCCUCAAAAAAACAAAAACAAAAACAAAUCAAUUAGUAAGUCCCUGGAGAAAGAAACUGUCCAUUCCUUCUGGCAUUUUGUCACAGGGAAAGUAAAGAAGAAAACAUUCCCUUUGUUAUAUGUGUAUAUUCUUCAGCUCAUAUAAAAUUUUGAUGUUGUCCUUGGAGGCGUUGGUAUCCACGCAUUGUAUACACACAGCUAUGGGAAUUAAAAUACAUCGUUGGGAACAGAGAUUAAAUAUAGAUAUUGCAUCUCCCUCUCCCUUCGCAUUGGUCUAAGAAAGCACCACCUUCCCCCAUCACCCUUCAAGUUGUUCCUCUAAAAAUUCGUCUUGUUUGUAGUUUGUACCCUAGCAGUUACGAAUUUUAUAAAAUAAGGCCUCAACACAGGAGAAAUGAAAAGGCAGCGUCAUUCACUUGGUACAAAAAGAAGAUUGUAGAACAUAUAGCAUGAGUUUCACCUCUGAGGUAAAACGAAAUUUAACAAUUGAAGUUAAGGAGGAAAAUGAUGGGUUUUUUUUGUUUUGUUUUGCAGAAAAUCAUACAAAAGCAAAUGUGGUUGGAGGGUAAAAGGACUCCAGGAGGCUGCACAGGGUGCUACGUUCACACGCAGCUUUUCUUUUUGGACUUUGAUGAGUCAUAAUGUGUUCUCUGAACUUGCUUUUCUCUUUCUAGUUUGGUAUCAAAAGAUAGAAGUCACUUUUUCAUGUCUGUAUGGCCACAUUCACUUGUUAUGUAAGUCUGCUUUGGUUACAUUCUGUAUAGAGUAGAUACUGGGUUUAAAACUUGGUAUCUGGAUACAACACCCUCAUAAAGAAAAAUUCCAUGCACAACGUUAGGAAGCUUCUAGUCCCAACAGACAAACUGUUAAUGCUGCCUGAAAUGUUGCCUAGCUUCAAACACGAGCAGGUAAGACCGUUUAGGCAGUGAGUAUUUCAUCUUCAGUAAUGGAAACCAAGAUUUGACAAAUUGAAUCAGCUGACAUUUAAUUUAAAGAAUAGUUUAGAAUUAACAAGUAAAUUUAUUACAGAAAUAAACACUCCUCUCUCUCCUUUUUUCUUUUUUUCCUUUUUGAGUCAGAGUCUCGCUCUAUUGCCCAGGCUGGAGUGCAGUGGCGGGAUCUUGGCUCACUGCAACCGCCGCCUCCCAGGUUCAAGGGAUUCUCGAACCUCAGCUUCUCGAUUAGCUGGGAUUACAGGUGCCCGCCACCAUAUCCAGCUAAUUUUUGUAUUUUUUGUAGAGACAGGGUUUCACCAUGUUGGCCAGGCUGAUCUGGAACUCCUGAACUCAAGUGAUCCACCCGCCUCUGCCUCCCAAAGUGCUAGGAUUACAGGGGUGAGUCACCACACCCCGCUCUCUCUUUUUUUUCUAAUGGGCAUGUUCAAUAAAUUAUGUUUUUCACAAUCAUUCCCCCAAAAUACCACCCCCAAUUCUCUUUAUGAUUAUAUCGUUCUUUAGCUUAAAAUCCUUUGUCUAUUCCCAAUCCAUUUUACGGUAAGUUUCAAACUUCUUGGCAUGUUAUCCUAGGCUGUGCAUAGACAGGUCUCUACCAGCGUUGUUGACCCUGCCGCCAAAAAUGCCUGGGCUCAGGGAAAACCUGUCUACCGUUUGGUUCCUAAGUGACCACAUUGGACAUUCUCCCCUCUGACUGAAGUGCAGAUCCUCAACCCACAUCCUCAAAACUCAACUAUGACCCAGAAUCCUUCUAGUGGUCUUCCCUGUUCUCCCCAGGCAGAGGAAGCUGCUUGUCCUACUCUGCUCCCAUAGCAACCGGUGUGCGCCUCCAUUAUAGCACUUAUCACUUUGAUGCAAUUAUUUGUUUGGUGUUGUCCUCUAGAUGGUUAGUGCCUGGAGGGUGUUUCGAUUCAUCUUUGAAACCUCAGCAAUUACCCUGAUACCUAGCACAUUGUAUUUAAAAAAAGAAAAGAAAAAAAAACUUUGUUGAAGGAAAGGAUGAGAGAUAGAUAAUAAAAUUACCUGACAUAGAAAAUUUAGCCGGUCUUCACUAUUAGUAAUUAUCAUGUUAAUGAACAACAUCAGUAAGUGUUCCGAAUCUUUACAGUAUCUGCCAAGGCUUGAAAACGCUUGGAAAAUGUGUUUGGUUUUUGUUUGGUUUUGUUUUGUUUUGUUUUGGGGAGGGGGGAUGUGGGAAGAUGAGGAGAAGCUACAGCUCUUGUAGUCAUAGAAAGAGCACCGACAAGAGGUUUUGUUUGUUUUUAAAUUAGGCUAGGAGUAACAUGAAUGCAUACAUGGCAAUUGUUUAAUACAGUAGUCACAAUUAUAAUUGCAGCUCCUUUUUAUUUCUCUUUUAAAUUACAUGCCUGAAGUUGUACAGAGACUUGUACAUAUGUUGUUUAAUCCAUUUAACCCUACGAGAUCUAUGACUUCAUCUCCAUUUUACAGGUGAGGAAACUGAGAAUCAGGAAGUAAUUUGCCUAAGGCAGGGAUCUCCAAAGCGGAGUGACCAAGACAAUUUACUGUGAAAUAGGAAGAACAGAAGAAAAUCUGUUUCUUUUUUCUUUAAUAAUUGAAAAAAGUAAUGAUGCAAGGACAAAAAAGAGCUUUAUGUAUAUUUAUUAUACUCAUUGACCCUUGACCCUAGAGUGUUUUACAUGGUCCCUAAGUAAACUGGUCAUGUGUCAUGUAGUGUAGCUGAAGAGUACUGAAAAACAAAAAGCGCCACAGGCAGAGGGGUGAUACUGGCACCUUCUGGUUCUUUCAUUGUCAUUGACAUCUUUUUAAGCAUUGAUAUUGCCUUAAUUUUACAGGUUCCACGUUAAAUAAAUUCUUAAGAUUAUAUCAUCUAGUUUUUUUUUUUGUUUGUCUUUGUUUUUGUUUUUGUUUUUUGAGACAGAUCUCGCUCUGUUGCCCAGGCUGGAGUGCAGUGGCUUGAUCUCUGCUCACUGCAAGCUCCGCCUCCCGGGUUCACGCCAUUCUCCCGCCUCAGCCUCCCGAGUACCUGGGACUACAGGCGCCCGCCACCACGCCCGGCUAAUUUUUUGUAUUUUUAGUAGAGACGGGGUUUCACCGUGUUAGCCAGGUUGGUCUCGAUCUCCUGACCUCGUGAUCCGCC
This 5013-nucleotide long non-coding RNA is filed under the name Homo sapiens (human). RNAcentral describes it as "non-protein coding lnc-PUM3-10:1". The record is from RNAcentral. Lineage: Eukaryota; Metazoa; Chordata; Mammalia; Primates; Hominidae.